Molecule: transfer RNA, 68 nt
Filed under: Marmota monax (woodchuck)
Lineage: Eukaryota; Metazoa; Chordata; Mammalia; Rodentia; Sciuridae
Description: tRNA.Ala
Rfam family: tRNA (bases 5-65)
About the family: Transfer RNA (tRNA) molecules are approximately 80 nucleotides in length.
Source: RNAcentral
GGUUUGUGGUUCAGUGGUAGAGCGCUCGCCUAGCACGUGUGAGGCCCUGAGUUCAAUCCUCAGCACCA